CUCGGCGCCAUUUUGUCUAGGCAGCAGUGGUGGUAGCUCUUUCCCAUUUUAAUCUUCGCGAGGAGGGGAGCGAAGUCUUUACCCGGUUGAUUCGUUCUCGUGGACUAGGCGUUCACUUUCCGUCCUGUUUGAGAGCACAACUCUCCCUGCCUACGAAGAGGGCGUUUCCACCCAAGCGUCGAAGCUGGGGAAUCCAAGAAGGCCCUGGGUCUCCGGAAUCAGGAAUUCUCCCCGCUUUGCCUUGAUAGUUGCUCGCCCAAGGUCACGAUGUGUAAUACCGUAAUUCGCCUUUAAAACGGAGAUGGUAUUUGACAGAAUGUGGUAAAUCCCACAGCCCUCCGAUAAGCAUCCUCCAAGAGUUUUACUGUAGAUUGGUGAACUUCAUUAAGUCAUUCAACAUUGUUGCAGAGAUUUAUCCUGAUGUUUUAUGGGGGAAAAUCAUCAAAAGCUUUUAGCCCUUAGAUCUGGAUAUAUUCUUACUGUUUCUUGGAAUGAGUUCUGUGGAAUUUAAAGAUUUUGCAAGAAAUAGCAAAUCACAAUGAAGUGUUAAAAGACGUGAACUGAAAAACAAGAUUCUGUUCCCUAAAAUGCCAGAACAACUGUGAGCUGGUUUUUUUUUUUUUUAAAUAUGUGAACAACAUGAAAAUGGAAGGUAAUAAGAACAGAAUUUGUGGUGGAACAUCAAAGCCAACAGAGAAUCACAUUACUAAUCUGUUGAAUGACCAGUCAUUGAAGAAAACCAUCAUGUUUUUUAAAGGAAGAAAUAGAUAAUCUUGUAUUUCCAGAUAAUUGGAAUGAAAAGCAAUCUUUCAGAGAAGUUCAAAGGCUUGAAGUGAAAGAAGGUAAAUUAAGAUGUAAAGAUUGUUUGACAGUUCGGCAUUUAGGAGUGACAGCAGGAAAGGCAUGUCCAUGUAUGCAAGGAAUGGAGUGUAUAGUUCCUAAAGGCAGUCAUAAAACUACUUAGGCGAGCUUCUUUGGGGGAAAAAAUUAGGAAACAGAUUGUUUCUAAAGCCCUUAACUAAAAGAUUUAUGAAAAGGUUCUUUCAAGUUUUUAGUACUAUUUACAAUGUACUAAAAAAUGUGAUAGACCUUUUACAUUGGGGGAACUAUAGAUUUGCAAGAAAAAAUAGAAUACAGGCAAUUGUUUACCUACAUAUAAUACAACAAGAAUAGACAGGUGCCGUAGUGGAUAGAACACUAUGCCUGCAGUCAAGAAGAAAAUCCCACCUCAGACACAACUAGCUAUAUGACCCCAGGCAAGUCACUUAGUUUCUGUCUCUUCAUCUGUAAAAUGAGGAUAAUGAUCUCUACCUCCAAGGGUUGUUGUGAAAAUCAAAUAAGAAUAUAAAUGCUACUAUUCCUAUUAAUAGCAGAACAUUGCAAAAGAAAUUGAUAGAAAUAGGAAUAUUACAGGAAAAAUAUCAUAGUGGACAAGACAAAAUUUCAAGGCAAAACACUGAAGGGAUUUAUCUACAAGUGCUCAAUUACAGUUACAGCACAGGUAAUGUUAUUUAUUGCUUUUUUAAAAAUUGUAUUUUUAGUACAUACAUUAUUAUCUACUUUAAAUGAUUGUAGCUUGUGCUUAUGUACUUGAAAGUAAACUAAGUGUAUUUUGUUCUGAUGGUGCUAAUACAAUGUUGGGAAAUAAAAUAAGUUGAUCACCAACCUAAUAAAAAUCAAAUUUAUGGUUUUUUUUUUUAAAAUGGAAAUUAUUGUAACUGUAUGGGACCAAGAUGAUCAGCAUAUAGUUUACUAGCUAUUGCUACAUGGUGACACAGACUACAUUUUUUUUCCUGUUAUUUUAUUUUACAUUUUAUUUGGGGAGCAUUUCUAGUUUUUGUGGGGAAGACACUUCACCUGGAAGAAUAAUAUCCAGACUUAGGAAAGGGAAUAUUUCUUAGAAUAGUAAUGAUUCCUGUGACUGCAGAGUCAGUAUUUCAUCACAAAUUGAUCAACAGUGAGUGAGAUGCACCAGAUAAGUAAGGAGGGCAAAAGAGCAAUUUUACAGAAUGUGUAAUUUAAUAUAGCAAGAUUUCUGGCUGUUUGGACAAGAGGCUUUAGUUAGGGUAAUAAAUUAGCAUAAAUGAUUUUUAUAUGAACAGAGAAUCUUAAAUUGCCUGUAAAUUGUUUUACAAGUACUUAAAGCAUGGUCCCCAGUGAGGCCAAGAAAGUUUCCGGUUAAUUUCUUCUCCUAUUUAUCUUAUGACUUCAUUUCUUUUUUUUUUUUCAAAAUAACAAAAUUGUUUUAAACAAAACAUUUUAUUUAGCCUUGUGGGUUGGUUGAUAGUGGAGAAAAAUGCUCAGGAAAUAUACAAAUAUUUGCCAAAAAAUCAAUACUUUAAAAUUAAAAUUCAUUUUUAUUAAGGUAUUGGUAUUGAUAUUUGCUUUAAUAUUUAAAGUUGUCACCAAUAAACUAAUCUGUAUUUUUUCUUUAUUUAAAAAUGAUAGCGGGGCAGCUAGGUGGCGCAGUGGAUAGAGCACCGGCCCUGGAGUCAGGAGUACCUGAGUUCAAAUCUGGCCUCAGACACUUAACACUUACUAGCUGUGUGACCCUGGGCAAGUCACUUAGCCCCAAUUGCCUCACUAAAAAAAAAAAAAAAAAUGAUAGCUUCUUGCCCCUAGUCCAAAUAAAACAUUAUAGAGUACCGAAUGCAAUUCUAUGUAAUCUGUGAGAGUGCAAUAAUAGAUGAGUGUUGCAUUUUAAAUGAUGCUAAUGUGGUAACACGAUCAGUGGCUUUUGAAAUUUCAAUAUCUGCUUAUUUAUUAGUAACAUUUGACCCUAGGAAAUCUGAGGUUUGGUUGCCCUGUGAACCACAAGUUUCUUAAUGAUGGUUAAACUUCCUUAUGGAAUCAACAUAAUAAAAAUGUCAAGACUCAAUUCUCCUUUUCCUUACUCCUUUGCUUCUCCCUUGCCCUUUUAAUUUCCAGUUUGUCAAUAUCUAGUUUUAAAUAUUGAAGCCUGAGCCUGCUUUUAAUAUACAUUUCAUAAUAAAACAAUUAAAAACAAUCAUUGAUGGGUCAAUGCCACUUGUCUUCUUUUCUAAAUUUUUUUUCUCCCAUCCAACUGGUUCUUAAAAUGCCAAUAAUGCAUUUGUGACCAUCUUCAUAAAUGCAACCGGAAACUUUUAGGCCAAACUUGAGUGUGCAGAGAUAUUUUUUUAACCCCAAAUACAGUGAAAUUUCCUCUAUACAUAAAAAAAAAUCCUGCUAUAUUACAGCUUUCGACACAGACUACAUUUUACUUGAAUUUUUCUCCUAUUAUUCUGGUUUGGAAAAUAAAUCACUAACAUUAAUUUAUUGCAACAUCUUGCAGACGUUCUUGAGCAAUUUGUAUUACUUUCACCUGCAAUGUAGUUACAUUCAGAAAGUGCAAAAAUUAAUGUGCACCAUAAGCACUUGGUAAAAUGUAAAAAUUGGUACUGGAAAGCAUGAAUCUCAGGUUAAAGACUUAAGUCAGACAAGUUUUAAAGGCUUUUCAUUAAAAUAUUCAUUUUAAUUUCAUAAACAUAAUCUAAUGCUCUAAGGAAUGCUACUUGAAAAAUUUCAACAGAUGAGCAAUCUUUUACUGAACAGAAAUGAUGAAAGUAUUUUCCAUUGCUUCUGAUUUAUUAGAUCUACCUAGCCUCAUGAAAAACUUAAUUCAGCAUGAUGUGAAAAAAAAAGUGAAAUUCAAAAAUAGGAAAUUGAUUUUAACAGCUUUUAGAAUUUUGUAGAUACAGAAUUAGACAAUGUCCCAGUCCCUGCAACUAUACAAAAAGUUAAAAGAUAGUUCUAUUGUAGUCAGUUGUAAAAUUGAAAGAUUUUGUGAAUAUAAUUUGUGCAAGGGUGAUAAUUUUUUUAUUAUUAUUUUUUAAGGGUGAUACAUUAACAGUGAAUCAUGUCAGAUGCAUUGACACAUUUAGGGGGAAAGGAUUAAUA
This is a long non-coding RNA of Dromiciops gliroides (monito del monte), 3918 nucleotides long. RefSeq lists it as uncharacterized. The transcript is spliced from 6 exons. The record is from RefSeq and is a predicted model, not a curated record. Lineage: Eukaryota; Metazoa; Chordata; Mammalia; Microbiotheria; Microbiotheriidae.